Molecule: ribosomal RNA, 447 nt
Filed under: uncultured bacterium
Lineage: Bacteria
Description: partial 16S ribosomal RNA
Rfam family: Bacterial small subunit ribosomal RNA
Source: RNAcentral
AGCGAACGCUGGCGGCAGGCUUAACACAUGCAAGUCGAACGCCCCGCAAGGGGAGUGGCAGACGGGUGAGUAACACGUGGGAACGUACCCUUUGGUUCGGAAUAACUUGGGGAAACUCAAGCUAAUACCGGAUAAGCCCUUAUGGGGAAAGGUUUACUGCCGAAGGAUCGGCCCGCGUCUGAUUAGCUAGUUGGUGAGGUAAUGGCUCACCAAGGCGACGAUCAGUAGCUGGUCUGAGAGGAUGAUCAGCCACACUGGGACUGAGACACGGCCCAGACUCCUACGGGAGGCAGCAGUGGGGAAUAUUGGACAAUGGGGGCACAACUGAUCGAGCCAUGCCGCGUGAGUGAUGAAGGCCUUAGGGUUGUAAAGCUCUUUUACCCGGGACGAUAAUGACUGUACCGGGAGAAUAAGCCCCGGCUAACUUCGUGCCAGCAGCCGCGGUAA